This 845-nucleotide long non-coding RNA is filed under the name Equus caballus (horse). RNAcentral's name for it is "lncRNA (ENSECAG00000037691.2)". Lineage: Eukaryota; Metazoa; Chordata; Mammalia; Perissodactyla; Equidae. The record is from RNAcentral.
GGCCUCAGAGGUGCAGCGGGAGAAGGAAUUCCUUUUGUGCCUCUGUGCCCAGCCCUGCAGGGGCUGCCGGGACAGUAGCUGUGUCUGUGGAGAUAAGUUUCCAGCUGGCGUCUUUGCACUCACCAGGGGCUUCUCUCCUAGCAACCGUAGGCUCCUGGUCCUGCAGCUCCCUGAUGGGCUGGGAGGAGUCACGCCACGUUAUGACGGUUUUACCGACAUGAUCAGCAGGGAGCGCCACUCGAACGCUUGGAGGUAAACCCCAUAAGGCUGAGCUUGGUGUGCCGUUUACAACCAUAGCAUUUGGUCUUCUGCUUUCCAAGUCUCACAGCAUCUCCACCACUUACAGUGCCACCAAGUGGAUUCUGGCUGCUAGUGACCCCGUGUACAGCAGAGUGGAACCCUGCCUGGUGUUUUUGCACCAUCCUCUCACCUUCCAGCUCUGAAUCGGACAAUGCUCUGCCACUAUUCAGAGCGUUUUCAUGGCCAAUGUCUUCGGAAUUGGGUGGCCAGGUCCUUACUCCUAGUGUGUCUCAGUCUGGAAGCUCCGCUGAAACCACGGGUGACCCUGCUGGUAUUGGAAAUACUGGUGGCAGAGCUUUGAGCAUCACAGCAACAUGCAGCCGCCACAGUGUGACAACUGACAGAUGAGUGCCACGAUGAAGCGUGUCAGGAUCUCACACCAACAUUAUGGAGUCUCCCUCUGGAAGGCUUUGGGAAGCUAUUCUCUAUCUGUUUUAACGCAUACAUAUUAAGAAUGAUGGUUUAGAUAUUUACCAGAGAAAAAUGGAAGGAGUGUAUUUUUGAUAAAACAUUUGACUAUACAUGACAUUAAAAAUUCCUUUGAG